Long non-coding RNA from Sipha flava (yellow sugarcane aphid), 1709 nucleotides. RefSeq lists it as uncharacterized. The transcript is spliced from 4 exons. The record is from RefSeq and is a predicted model, not a curated record. Lineage: Eukaryota; Metazoa; Arthropoda; Insecta; Hemiptera; Aphididae.
GGUCGAGGAUAAGGUAAAUAUUGACGAAUGGAUCAUCGCAUGAAAAAUGUCAGACUGCUCGCUUAGAUAAUAAACAUAACAAUAAUCAUUCUUUAUUUUCUAUGUAAUAAAUAGUGGUCCAAACCGUUUAUAAAUACUGACGAUGAAAACCAUACACAAUACGAAUGAAACAAUAUUAAUUGUUCCCGCACGUCGAUUAUACAAUAUUAUUAUAUCAAUUAUAAUAACAAUAUAUUUAUCAUUUUAGGGAUUCGGUAGAUUUCGACUAUGGUAUUCACUAUUCUGUGAUCGCCAACUAUGAUAUGUUGUUCUUGUUAUUACUUAUUGGUUUGCGUUGUCUGUCAUCGGUUAGUCAACAGUUUUGUGUAUUCUGACAUUUAUUACAAUCGUUAUUACGAUUUACAAGCAAUCUUGGUUAGUAAAAAAUAAUAUAUUUAUUUUUUUUUUAUAAAUACCGUUACAAUUGCAACAAAUAUCACGAAGAUUGUAAUGAUUGGUGCCCGAUCUCAACUAACUUGUAUGAUUAGCAGGUGUUUGCUAUAGUACUAAAAUCGUAAUACAUGACAAUGUGUAUAUGACCAAGUGGUACAUGUUAUAUUUCUGAAUAAUAUGAUAGUAUGUAAUAUGUGGUUAUACAUUAAUUUGAUAAGAUGUUUAGAAAAAAAAUUGGAUAAAUUUGAAUAAUGUUAAUUGAAACAUAACGAAUUUAAUUUUGCACCCUAUAAUCUAUAAGAGUCACUUUUUUUUUUUUUUUAAAUCAGUAUUUUCAUUGGUAACCAGUACAAUCGAUACAAAAUAUUCACUGAUUCUGUUGUUAUGAGCUACCAUGUAAAGCCUAACCAUGUAUAAAUAGAAAAAGAUGUGUAACACAAUAUUAUAUGUAUUGCAAUAAUGAAUUAGGUCAAACGAACAAGGCCUAUCGCUGGAUAUUACCAAAACAACAAAUCCUAUGAUAUCAAUGGAGCAAUAUAAAAGGAUGAUGAAAACAAACACAAAUCAGAUGAGUUCUAGUUACGGAACUAAAAGCAACGUCACAUCACUCAGUAUCAGAAUUUUUUUAAAUACAUUGAAUUAUAAAAUGACGUAUUGAAAGUAUUAAAAAGUUAAUGUCUAAUUAAUUAAAAUUAAAUACAUCUUCGACUGUACAAUUUGAAAUCGAGCCGGUGGCACGUAUCACUGUUAUAACUUUGAUAUGCCAAUAAACAUCCAAUAUAUUUGACUACUGAUUAGUCAUUAGAUUUUUAUGUCUGUUGUAUAUAUAUUGUAUAAAACUGUAUCAAAGAUGAUUCGAAGCUCCAAAGAAUCAGGGAUAGAAAAAGGCUAGUAUUGGAUAAAAAAGUAUGGGGCUGUACAGUGAAAGCAACAAUGUAUUUAAAUGAACUUCAAAUGAGUUAAUAAUAAUAAUAAUUAUUUUAGGUAUAACGUUAUCAUUGUUAGUUGAUAACAAUAAUCUAAACACAAGUAUGCAAAGAAUAAUUUCACUUUUUUGUGAUGAUACUUUGCUUUUCAAUUACUCUUUAAUUUGAUUUAAAUAUGAUAAGACAUUUAGAAAUCUGACUGGUUAACAUGUACUUGUUGGUAUGGAUAUUAUAAAUUUGAACAUAAUAUAUUAUUAUUACAACUCUCCUUACCUCAUAUACCUACAUCCAUACAACAUCCUUGUAAUUAAUAAAAUUAAAAUAUAAGCAGUAUAUAGUUCAUUUUUUUUG